CGGCGCGGCAGGGGAUUGCGGCCCCGGCAGCGCCUAACCAUAACCGUUCUAAACAGGAGAACAGCAUGGCUUU
This 73-nucleotide antisense RNA is filed under the name Acidithiobacillus caldus SM-1. RNAcentral describes it as "R1162-like plasmid antisense RNA". It matches the Rfam family "R1162-like plasmid antisense RNA". Rfam says of the family: The copy-number of the broad host-range plasmid R1162 is controlled by the amounts of two proteins, encoded by cotranscribed genes comprising a region of the plasmid called RepI. The record is from Rfam by way of RNAcentral. Lineage: Bacteria; Pseudomonadati; Pseudomonadota; Acidithiobacillia; Acidithiobacillales; Acidithiobacillaceae.